Mustela lutreola (European mink) is the source of this 2862-nucleotide long non-coding RNA. RefSeq lists it as uncharacterized. The transcript has 2 exons. NCBI's taxonomy places the organism in Eukaryota, Metazoa, Chordata, Mammalia, Carnivora, Mustelidae. The record is from RefSeq and is a predicted model, not a curated record.
GGACGCCCCGCCCCGUCCCUACAGCGGCUCAAAAAAACGGGGGGGGGGGGGUGGCAGGGGCACCGCAGCCUGGGGUCUAGAGCGCACUCACCGAAGUACUUGGACCAGUAGGCCAGCUGUGAAGAAAAGGGACAGGGUCAAAGGCCUCAGCCCAUGUAUAAGUAUAUAGGGAGCCCAGGGGGUGCCCCCUGAGUCUGGCCUAGGUAGAGCAGGGGAGGGAAGGGCUUCUGGACAAAGAGGGGUCUACCCCUGCUUGUUGCCAGCCGCUGGUGCAACUGCCCUCUGAGGAGGACCACCACACUCCUCCUUGCCCCCUGCUGCCCAUGUCCAAGCCACAUCCCAGGUACCACCCCCCCACCCCACCCCACCCCCAGUGCAGCUGGAACCCUGCUCUCUGGACUGCCUGCUACAGCAACAACCUUUACACUGGAAGCGACCCAAAUCUCCCACCCAGCUGCUCUGCCUCCUUCCAGCCUCUGUCACUCUCUUGGGCUUUUCUGGACCUCUCAUGCAUGUGGUCUUUCCCUAAGCCAGUGUUCUCAAAGCGGAGACCUUGUUGGUUAGACAUGGAUUGCUGAGAAGGUCUGCUUGUCUGACCAAGUCCCUGUUCCUGCUGCUGCUGCUGCUGCUGCUGCUGGUGAUCUGGGACCACCACACGGGAGAUCCACAGCUGGAUGCCUGCAACAUUAAACCCCUCCCUGUAGCAGUGGCUCUGCCCUGCUGGGCCUAGGAGACCUUAGGCAGAUGGCCAGCGGGGGAAGACAGGAGACUUGGCCAUUCAGAGGAUAUGUGCUGGACAGACAGUCCUCCCUUUGGACCCAAUCUGACCUCCAUGUGACCUUGAGCCAGUGCCUUUGCCUCUCUAAACUUCAGUUUAUUUGUACAAACAUGAGGAUGAGGUAAUGGUGUCAAACAGCACAGUGCCUGACCUAGAAAUGAGCACUCAGUGACACAUGUUGGCUGGAUGUUGUUAUUACCAGGACUGCAAACGUCACUCUGUCUUGCUAUUCUCCCAGUACCCCUGUGCAACCCUAUCUUGACUGUCCCACUUAUCUCCCCCACCUCCCCACCUCCACCCCCCUUGACCUCUCCUGAGUGGAGCAUUUCCUCUGCCUUCCCCUCAGGGGCAGGGCAGACCUGGAAGACAGCAGACCUGUGCCUUGGGCUCUGAGAGAUAUCUGUUGGUUAUAGCUGGGAUGAAGGGACCAAGUAAGGGGAGUGAGCAAGACAGGCUGGAGGAGGCAGUGCAGUGUCCAGGAAAGGAAGGCAUCUGACCUGAGUCUGGAUACAGGAGCCAAGUGAACCACAGGUAGGAGUCCCCACUCCCAGGCAGACAAGCAGCUCAAUAUGGAGCUCAAAUGCCAACAACAGCUGGUGUGCCUCAAGGAGACUGGGGCAGGGGGGCUGCUGCAAGGCACUGGCAGCUCUUUGCCCCUCAGACCUCCUCAUGCACCCUGGCUUUCUCCUGUUGGCUGGGAGUCAAGGGGGUCAAGGGGUGAAGCUGGGCAGUCACCAUACACGUGUCUAGGAGGAGAGGCUGCCCUGUGGCAGUGUGGUUGCUAGCCAGUCCUGGCUUUCAGCUUUCUGGCUUUCACAGUUAAGGGAGUGAGUGGAUGGAAGGGAAAGGCCCAGGGGACCCAGUGGCCCACUCCCAGACUGGAGGUGGGAACUUCAUGACAUACCCCCUGGGGCUCCUUGCUGUCACCACAGUACUCUGCCAUCACAGUCCCCCCACCCCUGCCUAGGGUGGAGGGGCGGGGGCUACUGGAUUCAAGCAGCUGGCCUUUAGGGACUGUCAGGUUGCUCCUCCCCAUGGUGCCUCUCCUGUCACUCUGAGGCUCAGAGGAUAUGCUGCAAAGUAUGAGGGCCUUGUGUAGGGCCUUGUGAAGACCCUGAUGAUCCCAGGGAAGGACAGUGGCCUUACCGGGAGGAACUGGUGUGCCGGAAAUUCCCCAGAUGGUCACCAACAGUAAGAGGCUUGCGAGCUGCCACAUUCUGGAGUUGCUGCCACCUGUCUGAGGAGGAUUUUUGAGCUUCCAGCAGCCUCACCAGCCCCUGCUCUGCCUACCACCCCUGCCCCAGAUGGGAGCUGACUGCCAGGGCCAGGGCUUGGGGGGGUCCUUGUUCACUACCCAGACAGCUACUAGCCCCUCAGUGUCCUGGCCUGUGUGGGGCUAGGAUCACAGCAGCUGCCCAGCAUCUGAGGGAUGAAGAGAAAAGGUGGAAAGGACACAGAUUCCUGGGGAAGAUCAAAAGGACUCAGCACAAAAGGGCCAUGGCAGGUGCCCUCUCUUGCCCUGUUAUUUGAGGACAGGAGGUGGUGACUUUGCUGAUUUAAUGGCCAGGCUAAGAGUCGUAACUAAUAUUUAUCAGACAUUUAUGGUAUUUUUCGAACAACUUAUACAUAGUUCAGAAAGCAGGCCACCAAGUCAACCACUUGGUGCAAAUCCCAGCUCCGGGACACCAAUGCUGGGCAAGAUACCUAACGGCUCCAUGCCUCAGUUUCCUAGUUAGAAAAACUGUAUUUCUGCCUUAUAGUAACCCUAUGAGAAUUAAAUUAAUUAAUCCACAUAAUACUCUUAAAACAGGGUUUGUAUACAGCAAAUGCUUGGGAAUAUUGGCUUUUAUUCUCUCGGUUAAAGCUCACAAAACGGGGUGCCUGGUUGGCUCAAUGGGUUAAGCCGCUGCCUUCAGCUCAGGUCAUGAUCUCAGGGUCCUGGGAUCGAGUCCUGCAUCAGGCUUUCUGCUCAGCAGGGAGCCUGCUCUACCCCUCCUCUCUCUUGCCUGCCUCUCUGCCUACUUGUGAUCAUUCUCUCUCUCUGUCAAAUAAAUAAAUAAAAUCUUUAAAAAAAAAAAAAAAAA